UGUUUCAAGAAAUUUCCAUGACAACUUCAUUUUCUACAAUUUCUCUAUAAAUAGCAAUGCUCAUCUUGAUUUUUGAAACUCACUUAAUUUUCCCCGUUUAAAUUUUGUAAAACAACAGCAUGGGCUGUUUACUAUGGCUCACUCAACUUCUCUGCCUCCUUUUCUUUCACUUCCAUUUUCAAGCCACCAGUUCUCUAUCUUUGUCUUGUAAUACCUCCAUUUCACUGGAACUUUGUCAGCUUGAACAAAAUCAUGCAUUGCUCCAAUUCAAAAAUUCUUUCUCCAUUACCAGUUCAGCCUCUUUCGACUACCCUCCAUAUGCUCAUUAUCCCAAAACAGACUCAUGGGAAGAGGGCACUGAUUGCUGCUCGUGGGAUGGGGUCACUUGUGACUUACAAACAGAACCAAAAAACCUAUAUGGUUGGUAAAGAUAGUUGAGGGCAAAGCAAAAGCUUACAGAUCUAAUAAAAGAAAUAAAAAAUUCAAUUCAGUCAAGAUCUUAAGGAACAUGUUGAAUAAUUAGAGGGAAGUGAUUGUUGGCAAGUGGAAAUAGGCUUAAAUGCAUUGCUCAGAAAGUCAAUAGCUUGCACCAAAACAGCAGCUUCAAAGGAAAGGGAAAAUCUACUUCAUUGCUUCUGUUAAGUUCUGUUGUUAUGCUCCUUUUUUAAUAUUUUCACAAUAAAAUAUUUACAUUAUUUUCUGAAAACUUUUUACCUAAUGUUUGAAAUAUAAAUAUGUAAUUGUUAAUUUUCAUGAUAAAUAAAUAUA
Molecule: long non-coding RNA, 768 nt
Organism: Hevea brasiliensis (rubber tree)
Lineage: Eukaryota; Viridiplantae; Streptophyta; Magnoliopsida; Malpighiales; Euphorbiaceae
Exons: 3
Source: RefSeq, a predicted model, not a curated record